AGUGAACGCUGGCGGUAGGCCUAACACAUGCAAGUCGAACGGCAGCACAGUAAGAGCUUGCUCUUACGGGUGGCGAGUGGCGGACGGGUGAGGAAUACAUCGGAAUCUACUUUUUCGUGGGGGAUAACGUAGGGAAACUUACGCUAAUACCGCAUACGACCUACGGGUGAAAGCAGGGGAUCUUCGGACCUUGCGCGAUUGAAUGAGCCGAUGUCGGAUUAGCUAGUUGGCGGGGUAAAGGCCCACCAAGGCGACGAUCCGUAGCUGGUCUGAGAGGAUGAUCAGCCACACUGGAACGGAGACACGAUCCAGACUCCUACGGGAGGCAGCAGUGGGGAAUAUUGGACAAUGGGCGCAAGCCUGAUCCAGCCAUACCGCGUGGGUGAAGAAGGCCUUCGGGUUGUAAAGCCCUUUUGUUGGGAAAGAAAAGCAGCAGGUUAAUACCCCGCUGUUCUGACGGUACCCAAAGAAUAAGCACCGGCUAACUUCGUG
This 492-nucleotide ribosomal RNA is filed under the name uncultured bacterium. RNAcentral describes it as "partial 16S ribosomal RNA". It matches the Rfam family "Bacterial small subunit ribosomal RNA", at positions 29 to 507 of the family's 1533-position model. The record is from RNAcentral.